This is a long non-coding RNA of Vanessa tameamea, 517 nucleotides long. RefSeq lists it as uncharacterized. The transcript has 2 exons. The record is from RefSeq and is a predicted model, not a curated record. NCBI's taxonomy places the organism in Eukaryota, Metazoa, Arthropoda, Insecta, Lepidoptera, Nymphalidae.
UACAAAAACAAACAACAUGCCCAAACAACACAUACCUGCUAUAAUAAUAGUAUAAUUAUAUCCAUAAUAAUAUAUAUACGGAGUCUCAGCAUAUGUUUUGUAUACCGUUACACGUAUUAUAUAAAUAAAAGACAAGAAUCAUUCCGAUCAUUGCUAUUUUAACUGAGUAACUUAAGCCAUGACUAACGUGUUUGUAUUUGCGACUGUGCUUCUUGUGUCUUUUGUUGUCGCUAUACCAACGGAUGAAGAAACCCCUCUAAGUUGUCCAGAUAAUGAAAAGUAUUACAAAUGUUCUCUUGAAGUAUGUUAUAAGAAGUGUGAACAUUUGAAAAAGCCAACGCCGUGUCCAAGUAUCUCUAGUGAUUGCUUUCUGCCAUCUUGCGAGUGUAAAAAUGAUUACUUGAGAAACAGCGAUGGCGUCUGUGUACCUUAUUUGGAAUGUUGAAUGUCAAUUGAAAUUAUGUGAACAUUUAGUUUCAGACGAAUGUAUUUGAUAAUUACAUAAAUCUGAUAUUGA